Non-coding RNA from Podarcis lilfordi (Lilford's wall lizard), 71 nucleotides. The record is from the annotation of a GenBank genome assembly. Lineage: Eukaryota; Metazoa; Chordata; Lepidosauria; Squamata; Lacertidae.
GGACCAUAGCUCAGUGGUAGAGCAUCUGCUUUGCAUGUAGAAGGUCCUGGCUUCAAUCUCUGGCAACUCCA